RNAcentral lists this ribosomal RNA (492 nucleotides) under uncultured bacterium. RNAcentral describes it as "partial 16S ribosomal RNA". It matches the Rfam family "Bacterial small subunit ribosomal RNA", at positions 29 to 507 of the family's 1533-position model. The record is from RNAcentral.
AGUGAACGCUGGCGGCAGGCUUAACACAUGCAAGUCGAACGGCAACACAGUAACAGCUUGCUCUGACUGGUGGCGAGGGGCGUACUGGUGAGGAAUGCAUCCAAAUCUAGUGUUUCACGGAGGGAAACCUGGGCUAACUUCCGCUAAUAUCGCAUACGACCUGCGGGGGACCGCACAGCAACGUUUGACCUUGCGCGAUUGGAUGGGCCGAUGUCGGAUUAGCUAGUUGGUGGGGUAAAGGCCCACCAAGGCGACGAUCCGUAGCUGGUCUGAGAGGAGGAUCAGCCACACUGGAACUGAGACACGGCCCAGACUCCUACGGGAGGCAGCAGUGGGGAAUAUUGGACAAUGGGCGCAAGCCUGAUCCAGCAAUGCCGCGUGGGGGAAGAAGGCCUUCGGGUUGUAAAGCCCUUUUGUUGGGAAAGAAAAGGAGUAGGUUAAUACCGCGCUGUACUGACGGUACCUAAAGAAUAAGCACCGGCUAACUACGUG